This 1090-nucleotide long non-coding RNA is filed under the name Daphnia pulicaria. Its description in RNAcentral is "uncharacterized LOC124326689, transcript variant X2". The record is from RNAcentral. Lineage: Eukaryota; Metazoa; Arthropoda; Branchiopoda; Diplostraca; Daphniidae.
CUUGUCUCAGUGUCUGACACUGUAACCACCAAUAGUUUAUACUUAUACCCAUCUCUGUAUGCUGCAAUUCUACAUAACAAUCUGCAAUUCUAUGUUUCAUCAAGGCAUUGCAUAGCAUUAACAGAUCAAUUGGAUCAUGGGCAUUUAAGUUUUUACAUCAAGUUGCUGAAUAAGCAAGACCUUUUUUAAGGUGAAGUUUUUGGGGACAUGGACCGAGCACAUCUUAAUUGCAAGGCAAGUGGGUGAAUACUUUGCGUAACCAGCUUCAGCUACAAACAUCAGCUUCACAGCCCAAUUUGUGGACAAAUGCAAAAGGUUCUCUCUUGACCAGUUAAUUGCUACUUCUGAAGCAGUUGAUGAUGAUGGUUAUCAAACAAACUAUAAUAGGGAUAUGUUCUAUCAUUUCCAUUCCCAAUAAAAAGCAUGCAGCAAACUUCUAAAUGCAAACAGAGUGAAAAAAAUGACAAGAAGCAAGAUUCUGUUUUAUUGGUUAUCAUCACAGAUUAUCUGUAAGUUAUGUUUUGACACAGAAUUUUGGGAAUGCAUCACAGACAGCAGUUUCAGGGCUAGGGGCUAUAAGGUCGACUAAGCUCUUUGUAUGUCAAUUCGUUGGCUGCUACCUGCUGGAUUUUCCCUCUUUGACUUUCUAAGAACGUACCUGCUCUUGAUUUGAAAUUUAUGCUGCGCCGCUAUUUAAUGAAUUAAUCCAGUAGGCGGAACCUGCCGAAAGAUCGGCAACGACUGUCGACUGACGGACGUGCUAUUAUUCUGCAAUACUGCUCACUUGCGUGCCAACUUUUCAUUGCCCCGAGGCAUGUGAGAGUUGAGCCUGCUCCAGCUACCCGGCCAGCAUCAUUUGUCUACACAGCCGACUGUACUACUACCCCAGCCCUCACCUAGCACGGAGUUUCUUGAGGGCGACGAGAUCAUGAUAUUGAUGAGGAGAAUAUGUUACACAUUGAUCUUUGCUUCCUCAAACGGGAUUGCGGUGUUUAUUCUUGCGUAACUUGAAGUCUUCUGCGCAUGAAAGUAAACGGGAGAAGAUUUGACGUCAACGUAACCAAUCUAUUUCUGAAAACCUAUUAUUGUG